GGCAGUGUGGUGCAGUGGGUUGAAUGUUGGGCUAGGAUUCCAGGAGACCAGGGUUCAAAUCCCCAUUCACCCA
Phrynosoma platyrhinos (Desert horned lizard) is the source of this 73-nucleotide non-coding RNA. NCBI's taxonomy places the organism in Eukaryota, Metazoa, Chordata, Lepidosauria, Squamata, Phrynosomatidae. The record is from the annotation of a GenBank genome assembly.